This 74-nucleotide transfer RNA is filed under the name Candidatus Gottesmanbacteria bacterium. Its description in RNAcentral is "tRNA-Ala". It matches the Rfam family "tRNA". Rfam says of the family: Transfer RNA (tRNA) molecules are approximately 80 nucleotides in length. Their secondary structure includes four short double-helical elements and three loops (D, anti-codon, and T loops). Further hydrogen bonds mediate the characteristic L-shaped molecular structure. tRNAs have two regions of fundamental functional importance: the anti-codon, which is responsible for specific mRNA codon recognition, and the 3' end, to which the tRNAs corresponding amino acid is attached (by aminoacyl-tRNA synthetases). tRNAs cope with the degeneracy of the genetic code in two manners: having more than one tRNA (with a specific anti-codon) for a particular amino acid; and 'wobble' base-pairing, i.e. permitting non-standard base-pairing at the 3rd anti-codon position. The record is from RNAcentral. Lineage: Bacteria; Candidatus Gottesmaniibacteriota.
GGGCUCGUCGUAUACCGGUAGUACGGAGCUAUGGCAUAGCUCAAAAAGGGGUUCGAUUCCCCUCGAGUCCACCA